RNAcentral lists this ribosomal RNA (430 nucleotides) under uncultured bacterium. RNAcentral's name for it is "bacterial SSU rRNA". It matches the Rfam family "Bacterial small subunit ribosomal RNA", at positions 32 to 496 of the family's 1533-position model. The record is from RNAcentral.
AACGCUGGCGGUAUGCCUAACACAUGCAAGUCGUACGAGAGUUUUUAACUCUAGUGGCGGACGGGUGAGUAACACGUGAGAAUUUGCCUUUAGGAGGGGGAUAACAAUUGGAAACGAAUGCUAAUACCCCAUAUGCUUUCGAGUGAAAUGGAUUUAUAUUAUCCGCCUAGAGAGAAGCUCGCGGCUGAUUAGCUUGUUGGUAAGGUAAGAGCUUACCAAGGCGACGAUCAGUAUCUGGUUUGAGAGGACGAUCAGACACACUGGAACUGAGACACGGUCCAGACUCCUACGGGAGGCAGCAGUGGGGAAUUUUCCGCAAUGGGCGAAAGCCUGACGGAGCAAUACCGCGUGAGGGAAGACUGCCUAUGGGUUGUAAACCUCUUUUUUCAGGGAGGAAUAAAAUGACGUGUACCUGAAGAAUAAGCAUCGG